This 306-nucleotide unclassified non-coding RNA is filed under the name plant metagenome. RNAcentral's name for it is "partial contains 5.8S ribosomal RNA, internal transcribed spacer 2, and large subunit ribosomal RNA". The stretch from base 1 to 105 matches the Rfam family "5.8S ribosomal RNA", at positions 50 to 154 of the family's 154-position model. The record is from RNAcentral.
GAAAUGCGAUAAGUAAUGUGAAUUGUAGAAUUCAGUGAAUCAUCGAAUCUUUGAACGCACAUUGCGCCCGCCAGUAUUCUGGCGGGCAUGCCUGUCCGAGCGUCAUUUCAACCAUCAAGCCCCCGGGCUUGUGUUGGGGACCUGCGGCUGCCCGCAGGCCCUGAAAACCAGUGGCGGGCUCGUUGUCACACCGAGCGUAGUAGCAAUCACCUCGCUAAGGGCGUGCUGCGGGUUCCGGCCGUUAAACAGCCUUACAAAACCCAAGGUUGACCUCGGAUCAGGUAGGAAGACCCGCUGAACUUACGC